UCUAUAUUCUCGGUUUUCACUUAUCGAUCUAUAUUCUUCCCUAACCUAUUCGAUUAAUACGCCAUAGUUAAACUAAUAUAAUAGGUUUUUUAUAAUAAUGUUUUAUAAAUAAUUAUUAAAUAAUAUCCAACAAAUGCAACUGUCUAUCUAAAGUGUUUU
This is a long non-coding RNA of Chrysoperla carnea, 159 nucleotides long. RefSeq lists it as uncharacterized. The record is from RefSeq and is a predicted model, not a curated record. Lineage: Eukaryota; Metazoa; Arthropoda; Insecta; Neuroptera; Chrysopidae. The transcript has 3 exons.